ACGUGACCUUCGACCGAUCGGAAGUGGGGGCGGGACGGCAGCGCCGGGGUGGGCUCAGAUCGCCAGGCAGCCGUGGGUCUCCAGGGUCCGGUCGCGACCCUUCCCUUCCCGGGCGGGAUUUGGUCCAGGACCGUCGAUGGCGUCUUGACAGGUCCCCGAGGCUUGGAUGUGGUCCCGAGGUGUCCGCUGUCGGCCGUUUGGAAUCUCAGAGGGACUGACGUGGCUCUCCCAAGACGGCACCCCGAACAGUCGUGGUUCAUCAAAAGCCUGGUCCUGGGUAGCCCCUCCCUGAAAUGGCUGUUGGUUGGGAAUUUGGGGGCUGAGCGCUUUGAAAGGGCAUUGGGACAGCAUCACAGAAUGUCAGUGUCCCACAUUUGCGAGGAGUCCCGGGCCCCAGUUCUUACACUGCAGUUUGCAUGAGGAUGGGCCACCGCCACUUCCGCCUGGGGUUGUCUGGUGAUGCCCCCAGGAGAGACGCGCCCACUGAAAAGCCAGCGUGGUGUCCUCUUACACGGUCCUUAACAAACUCUGGGACUCUGGGGGUGCAGGAAAUACCACAGGACCGUCAUUACUCCCAUACCGGCUGAGUCACAACUGUAUUGCAGGAGGCUUCUUGGAACGCCUAUGUAACUUUAAUGGAAGUGACCAGGUACAGAUCUUCUACAGCAAGGAAGGAAUCUUAGUGCUAGAAUUCAGUUGAGCCUUUGAGUUGGCUCUUCUUAUAAGUGAGCAAACAAGUAACAAGGUUUAGGGGGCGCCCAUUUUUGUGUUAGCACGAUUGCCCUCGUGUUUAAUAUUUCCCAAGCCCUAUUAUGAUAAGGAGUUGGACUUAAUGAAGAACCAUGUUGUCAAACAUCUUAUGCCCAUCUUGAAGUUGUGAAGGAGGAUGAGCACCAAGAAAAGGAAAUAAAUAAAAUCCAAUACGGGCCGGGUGCGGUAGCUCACGCCUGUAAUCUUAGCAGUUUGGGAGGCCAAGGCAGGCAGAACUCUUGAGCCCAGAAAUUCAAGACCAGCCUAGGCAGCAUAGUGAGACCCCGUCUCUACAAAAAAUAUAAUUAGCUGGGCGUGGUGGCAAACACCUGUAGUCCCAGCUACUUGGGAGGCUGGAGUGGGAGGAUCACCUGAGCCCUGGAGGUCAAGGCUGCAGUGAGCUAUGAUCACGCCACUGCAGUACAGCGUGGGUGACAGAGCAAGACCCUUUCUUGGGGAAAAAAGUCCCAUAUAACUUUCCUUGAUGACCCCACCCUCACCCCUCACUGUGUCAUUAUGCCAAGAGAGCUUUGGGCAUUCUAAAGAAGUAUGAGGAAUACUUGACCAAUAACCAAAGUAUAGUUAUUUAUUUGUUAAUGACUUCUUUCCUAGACUGUGAGUUACUUUAGAGCAGAGACUUAUUUUUCCCUGUAUCCCUAGGGUGUGGCACAUAGUAGGUGCUUAGUAAACUUAUUUUGCAUUCAAUAAUGCCAAGUAGAAUAAUUCAUAGAUUAUGGCAAAAUAAAAGAAUUUGGCAAAAUUGCAAGAUUGAAGAUUGCUUUCAGAAAAAAUGUUCCAACCCCUGUUCAAAAGUACAUAGCUUGCUGUGUUGUUGAAGUGCCAGCACGAGGAGGACCAUGCCAACACAUCCAUUUAUUGCCCAUUCUGGGUGUGUUGAGCGUUUUAAGUUUGCUAUGCUUGUAAAAAUCAAGGAAUGGCAAUGGUAUCAACUUUCAUGAACACAGUCGUUCAGCUGAACCAAGUAUCAGUGAUAACUUCUGUUUUGAAUUUUAGAAAUAUAUCUCUGAGGUUAGAAUGUUGAUUCAUGCAUAUUCCAGCUGGCUUUCCCUAUGAGUAUAAAUAGGGAAAACAAGGCUAUUGGCCCAAAUGUAAGUUGUAUUCCAAGGUUUGGUCCAAAGACCAGAGAAUCCCUAAGUAGGAAGACAGUUUUGUUUUCCCCUCUUUUACUGGUUAACUUUGAGCAGGUCACUUAUAUUUGGGGGCACAGAAGAUGAAGAUGACCCUGAGCUUGUCAUGUUCACUGUUAAUUGUUCUACUAACACCCUAGACUUCAUCAUCUUGUUAUAGCACUUAUCACAGUUGCUUUUAAAUCAUCAUGCAGUUAUAUGUUUAUUGUCUGCCUUUUCCACUAGAAUAAAGCCUCUGCUGACAUAAAAAAAAAAAAAAAA
RNAcentral lists this long non-coding RNA (2159 nucleotides) under Homo sapiens (human). RNAcentral's name for it is "uncharacterized LOC100272217 (LOC100272217)". The record is from RNAcentral. Lineage: Eukaryota; Metazoa; Chordata; Mammalia; Primates; Hominidae.